This 724-nucleotide long non-coding RNA is filed under the name Olea europaea subsp. europaea. Lineage: Eukaryota; Viridiplantae; Streptophyta; Magnoliopsida; Lamiales; Oleaceae. The record is from RNAcentral.
GCUCUCUCUUAUGGACUCUCAGUUUUCUUUUUAUGGUUUUUUUGAUCUUUGAUUUCUUAUGAGUUGUCUAGCUAGAAUAUUGGUUGAAUAUGUGUGAUUCAUGUUGCUACAGUAAUCAAGCCUGAAAUAGUAGCUGAUUUGGUGUCUGUAGUGAUUGUCAAAAAGUCUUGUUCGUGUUUUUUAUUAGGUCUUGAUAUUUAAGAGAUUCAUGUGUGGAUCGAUAACUAUUUCUGGGUUUGAUUGAGUUUUCCAGAACUGUUCUCUCUUUUUGGACGAUUUUCGUGUGCUUAGUAAUCAUGCUAAUCUUUGAGCCCCCUAGAUAAGGCGAUUGUCGAACUGGAUGAACAAUUUUAUGGUGUUCUUUUACAUUUUCUUGCACCUUGGUUGUUUUAUUUUGAUGUCUUUUAUUAAUUAUGUGAGGCAAAAAACCCUAUCAACUAGUAUUAGAGCCUUCGAGCUCUCUAGGGGUGCAACAAAAAUCUUUGGGUCAAUUUUUUCUUGGCUUGGCUUCUUUUUCUGGGGUGCAAGGUUUUUUUGAACAAAACACUUUGGGGUUCCUUUUAGAUUGUUUUCUUUUAAUAAAUUGAAAUAUCUAAUUCUUGUCUCUUUUGUGUUGUUGUUUAGAAGCGAAAACUUGGUGAAAGGUAGUGAGUCAACCACGGUUUACUCCCAGUAGAGGAAGAGUUUCCUGCCCUCGGGUUGAGACUAGCUUAGUGUUCUUGUU